This 253-nucleotide ribosomal RNA is filed under the name uncultured bacterium. RNAcentral describes it as "partial 16S ribosomal RNA". It matches the Rfam family "Bacterial small subunit ribosomal RNA", at positions 524 to 776 of the family's 1533-position model. The record is from RNAcentral.
UACGGAGGGUGCGAGCGUUGUCCGGAAUCACUGGGCGUAAAGGGCGCGUAGGCGGCCUGAUAAGUCGGGGGUGAAAUCCUGCGGCUUAACCGCAGGGCUGCCUUCUAAACUGUCAGGCUCGAGCACAGUAGAGGCAGGUGGAAUUCCCGGUGUAGCGGUGGAAUGCGUAGAGAUCGGGAAGAACAUCGGUGGCGAAAGCGCUCUACUGGACCGCAACUGACACUCAGGGACGAAAGCUAGGGGAGCGAAUGGG